UCCCCCUUAGUGUAAUUGGCAGCACGACUGUCUUUGGAACAGUUAGUUCGAGUUCGAGUCUCGCCGGGGGAGC
This 73-nucleotide transfer RNA is filed under the name Streptomyces phage SparkleGoddess. RNAcentral's name for it is "tRNA-Gln". It matches the Rfam family "tRNA". Rfam says of the family: Transfer RNA (tRNA) molecules are approximately 80 nucleotides in length. Their secondary structure includes four short double-helical elements and three loops (D, anti-codon, and T loops). The record is from RNAcentral. Lineage: Duplodnaviria; Heunggongvirae; Uroviricota; Caudoviricetes; Stanwilliamsviridae. RNAcentral also lists the same sequence under 5 other names.